UGCAAUAAUAUCAUAAGCCUACGCUAUGAAGUUCAUUGGCAUUAAAAGGAGAGGAGAAGUAUUCAGUAUUAUUCAUGCGAUCCCAUGCAAACACCUGCAAUGUUAUCGACCAAAUCAACAAACAAGGGAAAAGGACUAGACCUGAGUGAUUUCAGCAUCUCAACAUCUUUCCAUCUGGGUGGCUAACUCUCAAGCACUCUGUUCCUACUAAAAGCAAAACGCUGUGUUCAGGGACCUCUUGUUCCUUCCCCAACAUACGGGAUUGGGAUUCCUCAAACAGGAGCUGAAGAAAGGGGCCCAUCAAUGCCAGAGUACUCCGUGGAAAGCCAGCAGGAAGCACCGAGGAAAUGGAUUACGGAGCCGCUUGAGCACUUUUGACAAAUGCAGUUCCAUGCCGCUCUCCUAGUUUUUUGACCCUUAAAUAUUGCCUUCUUACAAAGAAGAACUACAAUCUAAUUCCAAGGAAUCCAGCUCUUCCUAAAGAAAGACAUCAACCGUAUUGAUAGCUGUUGUAUGACUGAAUCCUUUACAAGGUUCAGACAUGACUUCACCCAGGGCAGACUAAAUGUACCAGUGACGAAUGCUUCAUCAAGCAACCUCACUAGCAGGCCUCUGCUUGCUCUGCAAUGA
This 630-nucleotide long non-coding RNA is filed under the name Struthio camelus australis. RNAcentral describes it as "lncRNA (ENSSCUG00000014878.1)". The record is from RNAcentral. Lineage: Eukaryota; Metazoa; Chordata; Aves; Struthioniformes; Struthionidae.